Molecule: ribosomal RNA, 247 nt
Filed under: uncultured bacterium
Lineage: Bacteria
Description: partial 16S ribosomal RNA
Rfam family: Bacterial small subunit ribosomal RNA
Source: RNAcentral
AUACGUAGGGGGCAAGCGUUAUCCGGAUUUACUGGGUGUAAAGGGCGUGUAGGCGGAGAUGCAAGUUGGGAGUGAAAUCCCGGGGCUCAACCCCGGAACUGCUUUCAAAACUGUAUCCCUUGAGUAUCGGAGAGGCAAGCGGAAUUCCUAGUGUAGCGGUGAAAUGCGUAGAUAUUAGGAGGAACACCAGUGGCGAAGGCGGCUUGCUGGACGACAACUGACGCUGAGGCGCGAAAGCGUGGGGAGC